ACGGAGGGUGCAAGCGUUAAUCGGAAUAACUGGGCGUAAAGCGCACGCAGGCGGUUUUAUAAGUCAGAUGUGAAAUCCCCGGGCUCAACGUUGGAAUUGCCUUUGAAACUGACUGACUAGAGUCCUGUAGAGGGGGGUAGAAUGCCAGGUGUAGCGGUGAAAUGCGUAGAGAUCUGGAGGAAUACCGGUGGCGAAGGCGGCCUCCUGGACAACGACUGACGCUCAGGUGCGAAAGCGUGGGGAGCAAACAG
RNAcentral lists this ribosomal RNA (251 nucleotides) under uncultured prokaryote. Its description in RNAcentral is "partial 16S rRNA". It matches the Rfam family "Bacterial small subunit ribosomal RNA", at positions 525 to 775 of the family's 1533-position model. The record is from RNAcentral.